RNAcentral lists this ribosomal RNA (433 nucleotides) under uncultured bacterium. Its description in RNAcentral is "partial 16S ribosomal RNA". It matches the Rfam family "Bacterial small subunit ribosomal RNA", at positions 29 to 507 of the family's 1533-position model. The record is from RNAcentral.
AAUGAACGCUGGCGGCAUGCCUAACACAUGCAAGUCGAACGAGACGUUCGGGUCUAGUGGCGUACGGGUGCGUAACGCGAGGGAACCUGACCUUAGGUUCGGAAUAACUCCCCGAAAGGGGUGCCAAUACCGGACAAUGUCUUAGGACCAAAGAUUUAUCGCACUUGGUUGGGCACGAGUUGGAGUCGGUAGUGGGUAGGGUAAAAGACUAACAAGGCGACGAUCCAUAGCUGGUUUGUGAGGAUGGUCAGCAACACUUGGACUGAGACACGGCCCAGACUCCUCCGGGAUGCAGCAGUGGCUGAUGGUGCACAGCGGGCUGAGGCCUGAUCCUGCUCUGCCGCGUGAGUGAUGAAGUCCUUAAGGUUGUAAAGCGCUUUUACCCGGGAUGAUAAUGACGGUACCGGGAGAAUAAGCUCCGGCUAACUCCGUG